UUAGAGUUUGAUCAUGGCUCAGGACGAACGCUGGCGGCGCGCUUAACACAUGCAAGUCGAGCGAGAACCGGUCCUUCGGGACCGGGGAAAGCGGCGAACGGGUGAGUAACACGUGGGUAAUCCACCCUCGGCACCGGAAUAGCCCGGGGAAACCCGGAUUAAUGCCGGAUGGCCCAGCAGCUCUUCGGGGCGGUUGGAAAAGGUAGCUUCGGCCUCCGGCCGGGGACGAGCCCGCGGCGGAUUAGCUUGUUGGUGGGGUAACGGCCCACCAAGGCGACGAUCAGUAGCUGGUUUGAGAGAACGACCAGCCACACUGGGACUGAGACACGGCCCAGACUCCUACGGGAGGCAGCAGUGGGGAAUUUUGGACAAUGGGGGCAACCCUGAUCCAGCAAUGCCGCGUGAGUGAAGAAGGCCUUCGGGUUGUAAAGCUCUUUUGUUCGGAACGAAACGGUUCUAGCUAAUACCUGGGACUAAUGACGGUACCGGAAGAAUAAGCACCGGCUAACUACGUGCCAGCAGCCGCGGUACGCC
RNAcentral lists this ribosomal RNA (534 nucleotides) under uncultured bacterium. RNAcentral's name for it is "bacterial SSU rRNA". It matches the Rfam family "Bacterial small subunit ribosomal RNA", at positions 1 to 526 of the family's 1533-position model. The record is from RNAcentral.